RNAcentral lists this ribosomal RNA (253 nucleotides) under uncultured bacterium. RNAcentral's name for it is "partial 16S ribosomal RNA". It matches the Rfam family "Bacterial small subunit ribosomal RNA", at positions 524 to 776 of the family's 1533-position model. The record is from RNAcentral.
UACGAAGGGGGCUAGCGUUGCUCGGAAUCACUGGGCGUAAAGCGCGCGUAGGCGGCUUGCUAAGUCAGGGGUGAAAUCCUGGAGCUCAACUCCAGAACUGCCUUUGAUACUGGCGAUCUCGAGUCCGGAAGAGGUGAGUGGAACUGCGAGUGUAGAGGUGAAAUUCGUAGAUAUUCGCAAGAACACCAGUGGCGAAGGCGGCUCACUGGCCCGAUUCUGACGCUGAGGUGCGAAAGCGUGGGGAGCAAACAGG